UGGAGAUAAAAGCAGUA
This 17-nucleotide microRNA is filed under the name Corchorus olitorius. RNAcentral describes it as "hsa-miR-43". Lineage: Eukaryota; Viridiplantae; Streptophyta; Magnoliopsida; Malvales; Malvaceae. The record is from RNAcentral.